This 381-nucleotide ribosomal RNA is filed under the name Triticum aestivum (bread wheat). RNAcentral describes it as "partial small subunit ribosomal RNA". The record is from RNAcentral. Lineage: Eukaryota; Viridiplantae; Streptophyta; Magnoliopsida; Poales; Poaceae.
AUGUACAAACCGCUGAAGGUGCUAUUCACUGGCAAAUUGGUGACCUACCAAAGUCGGAAGAAUCUCAGACAAUUUGGAUCUCUUUCUGGUCUACGGCAAAGCAACCAGUGUAAUAAACUACAAGAAGAUGAUGAUGGCUUUGGUUCCCCCAUUUGUGCUUCGCUGUCGCGAGAUGCAGAGGAUACCUGCAUGCCACGGAGGGAGAGGCUGGAAGCUUGGGCGGCUAUGCUUCAAAGAGACGCUCUUUGUCAUCAUGCUGAUGGGGCGAGAGAAGUUGCACAUGUCAUGCUCCGGAUCACCGAUGACGAUGAAACUGUGGAGGAUGUUAAACAGUUAAGACUGAUGUUUGAUGGCCCUUCACUUCACAUCUUCUGUUGGUGA